Molecule: ribosomal RNA, 315 nt
Filed under: uncultured eukaryote
Lineage: Eukaryota
Description: SSU rRNA
Rfam family: Eukaryotic small subunit ribosomal RNA
Source: RNAcentral
UCUGUGAUGCCCUUAGAUGUUCUGGGCUGCACGCGCGCUACACUGACAAAGGCAGCGAGUAUACCUUGGCCGAGAGGUCUGGGAAAUCUUGUUAAACUUUGUCGUGCCGGGGAUAGAUCAUUGCAAUUAUUGGUCUUGAACGAGGAAUUCCUAGUAAGCGCAAGUCAUCAGCUUGCGUUGAUUACGUCCCUGCCCUUUGUACACACCGCCCGUCGCUACUACCGAUUGAAUGGCUUAGUGAGGCCUCUGGAUUCGUCCUGGUCGCAAGAUCAGGAUGUGAGAAAUUGGACAAACUUGGUCAUUUAGAGGAUUUAA